This 493-nucleotide ribosomal RNA is filed under the name uncultured bacterium. RNAcentral's name for it is "partial 16S ribosomal RNA". It matches the Rfam family "Bacterial small subunit ribosomal RNA", at positions 28 to 507 of the family's 1533-position model. The record is from RNAcentral.
GACGAACGCUGGCGGCGUGCCUAACACAUGCAAGUCGAGCGACGAACCAGUGCUUGCCCUGGGGCAAAGCAGCGAACGGGUGAGUAACACGUGGGUAACCCACCCCGAUAACCGGGACAACCCGAGGAAACUCGGGCUAAUACCGGAUGUGCUCACUGGACUUCGGUUCAGUGCGUAAAGGAAGCUUCGGCCUCCGUAUCGGGAGGGGCCCGCGGCCCAUUAGUUUGUUGGUGGGGUAACGGCUCACCAAGCCCGCGUUGGGUAGCUGGUCUGAGAGGACGAUCAGCCACACUGGGACUGAGACACGGCCCAGACUCCUACGGGAGGCAGCAGUGGGGAAUCUUGCGCAAUGCGCGAAAGCGUGACGCAGCAACGCCGCGUGGGGGAAGAAGGCCUUCGGGUUGUAAACCCCUUUCAGGGGGGACGAAGGUUCGGCGGUGAAUAGCCGUCCGGACUGACGGUACCUCCACAAGAAGCCCCGGCUAACUACGUG